GCCCGCCUAGCUCAAUCGGAUAGAGCGUCAGAUUCUUACAUGACUAGGUGGAAUCUGAAGGCUGCGAGUUCGACCCUCGCGGUGGGCU
Molecule: non-coding RNA, 88 nt
Organism: Schizophyllum commune H4-8
Lineage: Eukaryota; Fungi; Basidiomycota; Agaricomycetes; Agaricales; Schizophyllaceae
Source: Rfam